UCAGGAUGAACGCUGGCGGCGUGCUUAACACAUGCAAGUCGAACGGUGAAGGAGAGCUUGCUCUCUGGAUCAGUGGCGAACGGGUGAGUAACACGUGAGCAAUCUGCCCCUGACUCUGGGAUAACAGUUGGAAACAGCUGCUAAUACUGGAUACGAGACGUGAAGGCAUCUUCAACGUCUGGAAAGAAUUUCGGUCAGGGAUGAGCUCGCGGCCUAUCAGCUUGUUGGUGAGGUAACGGCUCACCAAGGCGUCGACGGGUAGCCGGCCUGAGAGGGUGACCGGCCACACUGGGACUGAGACACGGCCCAGACUCCUACGGGAGGCAGCAGUGGGGAAUAUUGCACAAUGGGCGAAAGCCUGAUGCAGCAACGCCGCGUGAGGGACGACGGCCUUCGGGUUGUAAACCUCUUUUAGCAGGGAAGAAGCGAAAGUGACG
This 437-nucleotide ribosomal RNA is filed under the name soil bacterium 4V-13. RNAcentral describes it as "bacterial SSU rRNA". It matches the Rfam family "Bacterial small subunit ribosomal RNA", at positions 24 to 474 of the family's 1533-position model. The record is from RNAcentral.